This 79-nucleotide non-coding RNA is filed under the name unclassified sequences. The record is from RNAcentral.
AUAAUUUUGCCACCGGGCAGUGCCUUAUUUUUCAUUCCGUUAGGUCUUUGAAGGAGUGAAUAGAUAAGGCAUUUUAUUU